UGGUUGAAGACAGUUCCACUCCAGCCAGAGCCACCAACUCAGGGCUGGAAAACACAAAAAAGCCCGAUUACCCGUCGGGUUUUUUU
RNAcentral lists this antisense RNA (86 nucleotides) under Escherichia coli. Its description in RNAcentral is "ArsR-gov region gene B". It matches the Rfam family "ArsR-gov region gene B". Rfam says of the family: arsR-gov region gene B is transcribed opposite of dinQ (translates into a toxic single transmembrane peptide) with 30 complimentary nucleotides. AgrB appears to repress accumulation of dinQ by RNA interference and counteracts its toxicity. Lineage: Bacteria; Pseudomonadati; Pseudomonadota; Gammaproteobacteria; Enterobacterales; Enterobacteriaceae. The record is from RNAcentral.